RNAcentral lists this ribosomal RNA (305 nucleotides) under uncultured bacterium. Its description in RNAcentral is "bacterial SSU rRNA". It matches the Rfam family "Bacterial small subunit ribosomal RNA", at positions 333 to 630 of the family's 1533-position model. The record is from RNAcentral.
CUAUGCCUACGGGACGCAGCAGUAGGGAAUCUUCCACAAUGGGCGAAAGCCUGAUGGAGCAACGCCGCGUGGGUGAAGAAGGUCUUCGGAUCGUAAUACCCUGUUGUUAGGGAAGAAAGUGCGUGAGAGUAACUGUUCACGUUUCGACGGUAUCUAACCAGAAAGCCACGGCUAACUACGUGCCAGCAGCCGCGGUAAUACGUAGGUGGCAAGCGUUAUCCGGAUUUAUUGGGCGUAAAGGGAACGCAGGCGGUCUUUUAAGUCUGAUGUGAAAUCCUUCGGCUUAACCGGAGUAGUGGGUUGGG